CCCAUUUUGUAGCUGAUAAGCAUGAUGAUAGGGUUUUCAUAUAAUUGUAAGAGAUGUGCCCACCCAUAAACCUUGUCAGCACUUGACCAGUCUGAUG
RNAcentral lists this small nucleolar RNA (97 nucleotides) under Erinaceus europaeus (western European hedgehog). RNAcentral describes it as "Small nucleolar RNA U13 (ENSEEUG00000023322.1)". It matches the Rfam family "Small nucleolar RNA U13". Lineage: Eukaryota; Metazoa; Chordata; Mammalia; Eulipotyphla; Erinaceidae. The record is from RNAcentral.